RNAcentral lists this ribosomal RNA (422 nucleotides) under uncultured bacterium. RNAcentral's name for it is "bacterial SSU rRNA". It matches the Rfam family "Bacterial small subunit ribosomal RNA", at positions 355 to 774 of the family's 1533-position model. The record is from RNAcentral.
UGAGGAAUAUUGGUCAAUGGGCGUAAGCCUGAACCAGCCAAGUCGCGUGAAGGAUGACUGCCCUAUGGGUUGUAAACUUCUUUUGUAAGGGGAGAAUAAAUUCUACGUGUAGGAUGAUGACAGUACCUUACGAAUAAGCAUCGGCUAACUACGUGCCAGCAGCCGCGGUAAUACGUAGGGGGCAAGCGUUGUCCGGAAUUACUGGGCGUAAAGAGCACGUAGGCGGUAACCUAAGUCAGAUGUGAAAGACCAGGGCUUAACUCUGGGGUUGCAUACGAAACUGGGUAACUAGAGUGCAGGAGAGGAAAGUGGAAUUCCUAGUGUAGCGGUGAAAUGCGUAGAUAUUAGGAGGAACACCAGUGGCGAAGGCGGCUUUCUGGACUGUAACUGACGCUGAGGUGCGAAAGCCAGGGGAGCGAACG